UUUGUCAGGUGACCUGGAAUUGUUUAAUAUGGAUUAAUUGUAUUUAUGAAGAACAGAGAUUGCAGUGAGCCUUAAAAUAAUCUGGACAGGGCCUCCUGAGUGGCGCAGCGGUCUAAAGCACUGCAUCGCAGUGCUAGAGGCGUCAUUACAGACCCUGGUUCUGUGCCACAGCCAGCUGCGACCGGGAGACCCAUGAGGCGACGCGCAAUUGGCCCAGCGUCGUCCGGGUUAGGGGAGGGUUUGGCCGGCCGGGUUGUCCUUGUCCCACUGCUUUAGAGACUUCUGUGGAGGGCGGACGCAUGCACGCUGACUUCAGUCGCCAGUUGUACGGUGUUUCCUUCGACACAUUGGUGCGACUGGCUUCCGGGUUAAGCGAGCAGUGUGUCAAGAAGCAGUGUGGCUUGGCAGGGCUAUGUUUCGGAGGACGCAUGGAUCUCGAACCUUCGCCUCUCCCGAGUUUCAGCGAUGGGACAGGACUGUCACUAGCAAUUGGAUAUCACGAAAUUGGGGAGAAAAAGGGGGUAAAAAGUAAAAUAUAUAUAUAACAUCCGGACAAUAGAAGUUUUGUGUUUUAAACUUCGGAGUAGAUCACCCAUCAAAGGAGUCAUGUCAAAGGUGACGACGGAUGUUCAGGUUCAAUACCUGAAGAGAAUUCCUAGUGUGGUUGGUGCCCGCCGUUUAGUUUAGUUUAUUUAUUUUUGGAGUUUGCUAGUUUGUUCCAUUUUUAGGAAUCCUGUUUCCAUCCCGCACGGUAGUUGGUGGGAUGCAUAUUAAAUUGCGCGAUCACCAUAUACCAUAGAAGAAGAAGAAAUGUUUUGAGAAGAAUAAACAUUAUGAAAUGUGAGUAUUAUGUUUAUUUAUUCAACAAAUUACAUUAAAAUUUUAAUCUUUCAUAUGAUGGUUAAAUUCAAUCAUUAGGACAUAACGCAGAGUCAGGUCUCUAGCCAAGCUAGCUACCAGGUGAUCUUGUCAUUUUUACGCUAUGAACAAUUAAUUGUAUAUUCAGGAAUGUGUCAAUGAUAUAGGAAUGCACAGUUUUAAAAUCCUGAAUUGGUGAUCUUGCAAGGCAGCUCAUGACAAAUCAUAUUUUUCAAACUUUUUUAAUUCAGGGACGAAAGAGGACAAUGUAUUGGCAGGACAAAACACUCUUUCCCGACUGGUGUGAGGUCUAUCUACAUGUGACCAGGUGGACCUCUUCACCAGGCAGGCCUUCGCUGCAGUCUAACAUCACCAGCAAAGGUCUCUGAUGAGAUUAAGAUCGUGCUUCCAACCUGCCGCCUGGAUAUCUCAGCAUCAUCGAGACUUGGUGCUCCAGUACCGAUUGCAGGGAGAACAGUCUAUGACUAGGGUGGCUGGAGUCUUCAACCAUUUUUAGGGCCUUCCUCUGACACCGCCUGGUAUAGAGGUCCUGGAUGGCAGGAAGCUUGGCCCCGGUGAUGUACUGGGCCAUGCGCUCUACCCUCUGGAGUACCUUGAGGUCGGAGGCCGAGCAGUUGCCAUACCAGGUAGUGAUGGUUUUUUUUUAUAAACCAGAUUUGCUGUUCACUUGAGCAAUAUGAGAUUGGAAAAGUUCCGUGCAAUAAUGGCUCUAUAUAAUACUGUACACUUUCUUGAUAUUUUAAAUAGGUUGAAAGCUAAGAUUAAUACUGGCUGUUCCUCUGUUUCCAGAGUGAUGGUUCAUAUUGUAGCUCACGCGUAGGGACUGGAACAUCAUCUCAGGUCCUAUGUGAAGUUUGUGUUCAAGCCAGAGCCGAACUCAGCCAGUGGGAUCCCUAACCCUCAGAGUGUCCAUGAGGAGCUGGCUAAAGCCAUGACAGCCAACCUCAACCCCUCCACUUACUUCCUCACCAGCAACAAACUGCUACUCGUGGUACUUCGUAGAAGCCCUGGUGAAGUCUAUGGCCCAGCAUAGGACCCAGAGUGGUAAAUUCAACCUGUCUAGCAAACCAAGUUUCUCUGCCUUCCUUCCACCACACAGUAGAGAAAAAUGCAGAGGCCUCACAUCAACAAGAACUGCAAGGACAAACUGGAUGCUACCCGAAAUGCCAACCACAGUCUGGCAGUCUUGGAGUGCCAUAGACAACCAACAAAACAGUUGUUGGUUUCAUUCAGAAAAUUGCCACAUUUAGUUCUAUGGUAAUGCUAUUUUCUUGUUAUGAGGACUGAUGACUUAUUGUAUGCUACACGCAGCAAAAUAAAUAUGUGCACCCUAUACUAUCAGGGUAGAUUAUUGGUGUUUCUUGUGCUAUGUAGAAACUAUUUGCUAGUAAUUUAAAUAAUAAACAACUGUAUUCUGUCCUAUUAAAGUAGUUCCGUUUAGGAAAUUAGUAUCUUCAUUAUUUAUUAUUGUAGUGUUAAUCUAUCUGUGAAAAUCUGAAGAAAACAGAAACUAAGGUGAAAGUAAUAGUAAUUUACACAAUAACAGGGAACAGAGCAUUGCUUUAGAAUACAGUGUCAAGACCCCAUAGGUACACUGAAGCUAUGGGGAAACUGUACAGAAAGUAAGCUACACUGAAACAAUGGACAUAGUAAUUUACACGGUAACGGGAACAGGGCAUUGCUUUAGAAUACAGUGUCAAGGCCCCACAGGUACACUGAUACUAUGGGGAAACUAUCCAGGAAGAAACAGUAAGGCACACAAACUGAUGAAAGUAGUAAGGAAUCUAAUAGUAAUUUACAGGGGAACAGAGCGUUGCUUUAGAAUACAGUGUCUUGGCCCCAUAGGUACACUGAAACAAUAUGGUGAAACUAUGCCUACGCAUGAAGUAACAAAUAAGGUACAUAAUAUGUACUUAAGUACAGUGCUGAAAUAACUGUAUAAUGAUCGGAAAGUAAUCGGAAACAAGACAAAAGGCAGCUAGCUACAAGCAAAGCCUUAAAAGGGACGUUUUUAGGAUGGUCCACAUAAAGCAUAAGUGAAAGCUCCAUGUACAUUCUUAAUAAGUAUACCCUCUAUUAUUGAUAGUUCUUUAUGUUCCUACAUAACAACCAGGAUAAUUCAUCACUCUUUAUAUUAGUACUUAGCAGCUACAAACAAAAUAUUAAUGGAUAAUUGGUGUUCAUGCCUGGUUGUUGCCAUCUUAUUUCAUUGUUUUUUUCCAGGUACUUUCCAGACAUCACCCUCUUAUUCAGCUAUCCUUGUGACCUAAGCCACCCUGCUAUUUCCUGUUUCCCGUGUUCCUCUGCCCUCGAAUUAGAGGAGAGCUGAGUAAAUGUAACCCAAUCAGCUUCAAGGUUUCAGCCUCUCUAGUAAUAGUAUUUUAUGUUCUCUUCCUGUGUAGGGGGAUUAUUUGAUAAAACAAUGAAUUUGUUCUUACUGCCAUUAGCCCAUAGAAACACAUUCAAUAUUCAUACAUGGUAAAACAGAUUGUAAAGUCAAAAGUAUGUUUUUGGGGGGGUGGCUAGUGACAAACACAUGGAGUAGGCCAAUUGUAUUUAUUGAAUAGUUUCUUUGUGCUUUGACCCAACUUUUAUUUGACUUUUAAUGUGUAAAUGGUGCAUAACCGGCAAAAGUUUAAGUUCAGCUGAGUCAUUGACAAAAGAGAAAACACUAGUCCCAAGACGAGGAGCUCGAGUUCUUCAACAAGUGGGAGCAGCGGCUCCUCGGCUCUGCGGAAAAAAUGAACACCAAGGAUUCGAAGGCCGAGAUUCUUGCUGCCCUCAGAGCGGACAUUUUAUCCACACUCAACUCGGGAACUCAAGGAGGUGCUCAAUGAGGACUUUCAUUUGUAUUAAGUCGGAGUUACAAGCAGUCAAGAAUGAAAUCACAAAGCAUACGGCAAUGGUUCGUACUGAACUGGAUACAAACUGUCUCCGACAUGGAAAAACUUGACCCCAUGCUCAGACGACACAACUAGCCUUAAGCAACAAUGCAUACAUUUACAAGGUUAUAUGCAAAGAUCCAAUAU
Oncorhynchus gorbuscha (pink salmon) is the source of this 3908-nucleotide long non-coding RNA. RefSeq lists it as uncharacterized. The record is from RefSeq and is a predicted model, not a curated record. The transcript is spliced from 6 exons. Lineage: Eukaryota; Metazoa; Chordata; Actinopteri; Salmoniformes; Salmonidae.